RNAcentral lists this ribosomal RNA (446 nucleotides) under uncultured bacterium. RNAcentral's name for it is "partial 16S ribosomal RNA". It matches the Rfam family "Bacterial small subunit ribosomal RNA", at positions 338 to 795 of the family's 1533-position model. The record is from RNAcentral.
CCUACGGGGAGCAGCAGUCGAGAAUCAUUCACAAUGGGGGAAACCCUGAUGGUGCGACGCCGCGUGGGGGAAUGAAGGUCUUCGGAUUGUAAACCCCUGUCAUGUGGGCGCAGAUUAAAAAGAUAGUACCACAAGAGGAAGAGACGGCUAACUCUAGGCCAGCAGCAGCGGUAAUACAGAGGUCUCAAGCGUUGUUCGGAAUCACUGGGCGUAAAGCGGGCGUAGGCUGUUUCGUAAGUCGGGUGUGAAAGGCGCGGGCUCAACCCGCGGACGGCCCAUGAUACUGCGAGCCUAGAGUAAUGGAGGGGGGACCGGAAUUCUCGGUGUAGCAGUGAAAUGCGUAGAGAUCGAGAGGAACACUCGUGGCGAAGGCGGGUUCCUGGACAUUAACUGACGCUGAGGCACGAAGGCCAGGGGAGCGAAAGGAAGUAGAUACCCCUGUAGUC